CGGUUUGCCCGCAGCAGCCCAACUCCCCGCUAAGCUCCCAGAACUAAGGUCCGCGGGGACCUUCAAUGGCCUUCCCGGUGGCUCCUCCUCCUCCAGAGGUGUCACCCUUCUGGGAAACGGUACUCCUCCCUCUCACCCCCGCCCAGCACUGCUGGGGGUGGGCGGGAACCGGUGCCAGCCGGUGAUUCCAGGUCGAGCCUCCCGCCCUCACCAAGCUUGACCCAGCCCAAACCCCUAACAGCCACGCGCUGGGAGCCUCCCCACCGCGGGGUACCGGGCCCUCUCCACCACCGCGCGCCAGAAUGCACCUCUGUAAAAGACAACAAAAUAAGAACCAGCCAAGGAAAGCAAAAGGCGGAACUACCUCUGCAAGUCCAAGAAAGCUGGUACUGACAAUGUUGUGGCUGAACCGGACACCCCACAAUAGUCUCCAGCCUCGAGGAAGCAGCUCUACCUCUCUCUAUCUUGGACAAAAUGAAUUUUAAGAGAUCACCUUGAGUGUUUAGAUCCUGUUUCCCAAGCAAACAUUUUCAGGAGUCUUUGAGGACAAUCUUCAGCAAAAUGAGAGAACAGACCAAGAAAAAGAAAAGCAUGAACUCAAGUGUAUCCAAACCAGGAGCACAGCUGAAGGAAGUCCCAGAAGGGCAGCUACCCAGCAGGCUCACAGAGCGACUGGCACAGAUGGGAGCAAGAAGGGCCCUCUUUUUCCGUAUCAUGUGAUUUUUUAAAAGCAUAUGCUUGUAUUAUCUGAAAUACUUCAGAUAAAAAAAAAACCCAGCAUACUUCAUGUUACAAACUUUCUUCUAAGCAUACACAAUCCUCCCUCUGCGUGUCUAUUUUUAAAACAUGGUGCCUUUAAGAAUUACUUAGUGGUAACAUCAGUCAAUACAAAAGCAUAUGAAAGUCUCCGGCUGCCUCCUACACGCCCAGGAGUCAAUCACUACUAGAGUUAUGCAUCUUCUCCAACUCUGGCAUGCAUAGUCUUUAUUAAAAUGUUUUACCAAAAACAAAAAAAAAUCAUACUAUAUGUGUUCUUCCACAACUUGCUUUUUCACAGGGCGCUGUGUCACAGGUGUACCCCCUUGUCAAUGAGCACAUACUCAGCUUAUUCUUUUUUAUGACUGUACAGGUUUCUGCAGACGGACAGACCACAAUUUAUUUAACCUGCACCUUAUUAAUAGAUAUUUAGAUUGCCUCCAAUUUUUGACUAAUGCAACAAAUGCUUCCAGAAACAGUCAGACACAUGCUUCUUUGUACAAGUAUUUUUUUAAGAUAAAUUUCAAGAUGUGAAAUUGCUGGUUCAAAGGACACAUGUGUUUUACAUUUUAAUAGAUUAGAAAGUGAAAACCCCUUCCCCCAAAAUGGGCUGUACUAUUUUACACUCACACUAAAAAUAUAUGAGUAGUCAUUUCCCUACAUUUUUACCAAUCACUGACAUUAUUAACCUUUUAAGGUUUUGUUUCACAAAACCAGCAAACAUGAC
Molecule: long non-coding RNA, 1483 nt
Organism: Felis catus (domestic cat)
Lineage: Eukaryota; Metazoa; Chordata; Mammalia; Carnivora; Felidae
Exons: 4
Source: RefSeq, a predicted model, not a curated record